RNAcentral lists this ribosomal RNA (253 nucleotides) under uncultured bacterium. RNAcentral describes it as "partial 16S ribosomal RNA". It matches the Rfam family "Bacterial small subunit ribosomal RNA", at positions 524 to 776 of the family's 1533-position model. The record is from RNAcentral.
UACGUAGGGUGCAAGCGUUGUCCGGAAUUAUUGGGCGUAAAGAGCUCGUAGGCGGUCUGUCGCGUCGGCUGUGAAAACCCGGAGCUCAACUCCGGGCCUGCAGUCGAUACGGGCAAACUGGAGUGUUGCAGGGGAGACUGGAAUUCCUGGUGUAGCGGUGAAAUGCGCAGAUAUCAGGAGGAACACCGGUGGCGAAGGCGGGUCUCUGGGCAACAACUGACGCUGAGGCACGAAAGUGUGGGGAUCAAACAGG